AUAGAAGCGAUGAAAAAGAAGAGUACAUCUGUUUAUGGCUUUUCAGAGAGUUUGUGGCUGGUGGAAACAAACAUGCCUGCAGGUGGAAUGGGCUUUCGAGCUCCGGAGAUGAACGGGCGGCCGCCUCAUUAGUUUCCGGCGUACGCCUUGCGUUAACCAGGCUCCAAUUGGCAUUGGAACUAAGCGGCCCGUAUUGCCGGGCACUUAGGGUGGCACCGCGGAUUUAUCCCAUUCGUCCCUAAU
RNAcentral lists this non-coding RNA (243 nucleotides) under Heyndrickxia coagulans. RNAcentral describes it as "Bacillus coagulans T-box sequence". It matches the Rfam family "T-box leader". From Rfam's summary of the family: Uncharged tRNA acts as the effector for transcription antitermination of genes in the T-box leader family. T-boxes are found upstream of many aminoacyl-tRNA synthetase genes and some amino acid biosynthetic genes usually in Gram-positive bacteria. The anticodon of a specific tRNA base pairs to a specifier sequence within the T-box motif, and the NCCA acceptor tail of the tRNA base pairs to a conserved bulge in the T-box antiterminator hairpin. The record is from RNAcentral. Lineage: Bacteria; Bacillati; Bacillota; Bacilli; Caryophanales; Bacillaceae.